UGGGGAAUUUUGGACAAUGGGCGCAAGCCUGAUCCAGCCAUGCCGCGUGCAGGAUGAAGGCCUUCGGGUUGUAAACUGCUUUUAUACGGAACGAAAAGCCCCCUUCUAAUAAAGGGGGUGAUGACGGUACCGUAAGAAUAAGCACCGGCUAACUACGUGCCAGCAGCCGCGGUAAUACGUAGGGUGCAAGCGUUAAUCGGAAUUACUGGGCGUAAAGCGUGCGCAGGCGGUUAUGUAAGACAGAGGUGAAAUCCCCGGGCUCAACCUGGGAACUGCCUUUGUGACUGCAUAGCUUGAGUGCGGCAGAGGGGGAUGGAAUUCCGCGUGUAGCAGUGAAAUGCGUAGAUAUGCGGAGGAACACCGAUGGCGAAGGCAAUCCCCGUGGGCCUGCACUGACGCUCA
RNAcentral lists this ribosomal RNA (402 nucleotides) under uncultured bacterium. Its description in RNAcentral is "bacterial SSU rRNA". It matches the Rfam family "Bacterial small subunit ribosomal RNA", at positions 355 to 749 of the family's 1533-position model. The record is from RNAcentral.